This is a long non-coding RNA of Mauremys mutica (yellowpond turtle), 767 nucleotides long. RefSeq lists it as uncharacterized. The transcript is spliced from 3 exons. NCBI's taxonomy places the organism in Eukaryota, Metazoa, Chordata, Testudines, Geoemydidae. The record is from RefSeq and is a predicted model, not a curated record.
GAAGCCCAUCACAUUAUUUGAAAGAUAUCUAAGAGACAUUUUAAUUUGUUUGAAUGAAGUCUCCUCCAUAAUGUUCCUAGUCUCUGAUAAAUGCAAACUAUAGUCCAGAAUCUCUGGUGGGUUCAAUGUGGGCAAAGAGGACACCCACACAGAUCCAACUGUAGAAUUGGGACCAAAGGACUGAACCAAAAUGAAUUGGGAUAUUCAGUCCCCUCACAAGGCCAAUCCCUCUUUGCAUUAUUUUAAAUAAAUUUAGAGAUGUUCCCAUGGAAAUUUUAAAUUUGAACAGACUUGCUACUGAAAUACUGUAUCCACAGAACAGGUAUAGCUUGAGCAGCAAUUGUGAAAGCUUCGUUGAGAAUUGUCAGCUUGUCACAUUUUACAUAUAAGAGGUUCUUUGUUCCAAAGGGAUAAACUGUUGUUGUCUGAAGGAAAAUGUAGAGUAUUACAGAUAAAGGUAUACUGAGAAACAGAGAGAGAGAAAGCAACUUAUGCAACAAGCUGGUGCUGAGGCAGGAAUGGAACCUGUAAGUCCUGACUCCUUGUCCUAUGCUCUAACCACUGGAAACACUAUUGUGUACGUUGUUAUGGUAGAAGAUCUGACUCACCAAAGGAAAUACUUGUAUGAUAAUAUGUAGGUUAGGAAAAAGUGCAUAUUUUUCAAAAGUUACAAUUUUUCUGCCAUGAAUUAGUGUAAUUUCUUUCUCUAUUAUCCUGCAGUCCCUUUUUGUUUUUCUCAAACCCUCUAACUACUGGCAGAAUAAAUG